Molecule: ribosomal RNA, 461 nt
Filed under: uncultured bacterium
Lineage: Bacteria
Description: bacterial SSU rRNA
Rfam family: Bacterial small subunit ribosomal RNA
Source: RNAcentral
ACCAAGGCUAAGACGGGUAGCUGGUCUGAGAGGACGACCAGCCACACUGGAACUGAGACACGGUCCAGACACCUACGGGUGGCAGCAGUCGAGAAUUUUUCACAAUGGGCGAAAGCCUGAUGGAGCGACGCCGCGUGGGGGAUGAAGGGCUUCGGCUCGUAAACCCCUGUCAUUCGCGAACAAAGGUGCCGGCCUAAUAUGCCGUCGUCUGAUAGUAGCGGAAGAGGAAGGGACGGCUAACUCUGUGCCAGCAGCCGCGGUAAUACAGAGGUCCCAAGCGUUGUUCGGAUUCACUGGGGCGUAAAGGGUGCGUAGGUGGCAGGCUAAGUCGGGUGUGAAAUCUCCGGGCUCAACCCGGAGGGUGCGCUCGAAACUGGUUUGCUAGAGGAUGGGAGGGGAGACUGGAAUUCUCGGUGUAGCAGUGAAAUGCGUAGAUAUCGAGAGGAACACCGGUGGCGAAG